ACAAAUUUUCAUUAAUACUAUCGUAUAAACGCAGAAAUAAGGUCUGCACGUUUCUACCGGGCUACCGUAAAUGGCUUGACUACGAUGUGAAGGGUUCUUUUG
This 102-nucleotide non-coding RNA is filed under the name Bacillus sp. (in: firmicutes). RNAcentral describes it as "Bacillus sp. Guanine sequence". It matches the Rfam family "Purine riboswitch aptamer". From Rfam's summary of the family: Riboswitches are metabolite binding domains within certain messenger RNAs that serve as precision sensors for their corresponding targets. Allosteric rearrangement of mRNA structure is mediated by ligand binding, and this results in modulation of gene expression. A class of riboswitches that selectively recognises guanine and becomes saturated at concentrations as low as 5 nM. Lineage: Bacteria; Bacillati; Bacillota; Bacilli; Caryophanales; Bacillaceae. The record is from RNAcentral.